RNAcentral lists this non-coding RNA (277 nucleotides) under Alligator mississippiensis (American alligator). RNAcentral's name for it is "Microsporidia small subunit ribosomal RNA". It matches the Rfam family "Eukaryotic small subunit ribosomal RNA", at positions 174 to 470 of the family's 1831-position model. The record is from Rfam by way of RNAcentral. Lineage: Eukaryota; Metazoa; Chordata; Crocodylia; Alligatoridae.
CAGCACCUGUGCUGGCUCUGCAGUAUAAAAACCUGCCCUGGAAAGUAGCUCAGGUGUACUUGCUCUUAGGAGCUUCUUGGGGUCCCUGUGGCGGCGACAACACAUUCAAAUGUCUGCCCUAUCAACUUUUGAUGGUACUUUCUGUGCCUACCAUGGUGACCAUGGGUAAUGGGGAAUUAGGGUUUAAAUCUGGAGAGGAAGCCUGAAAAACAGGUACCACAUCUGAGGAAGGCAGCAGGGGCACAAAUUACCCACUCCCGACCUGGGGAGGUAGUGA